CUACCUUCAAGCACGGCUUGUGUGUUGAGCACCUGUUCAUGGAAAGAACAGGCUUGAAAUACAGUGACGAUGGCGAGUUUGGAGCCCCAGCAUAUGGAACUUUGUAACAGGCUGCGGCGGCCCAACUCACUAUUUUCUGUCAGUUGCUACAUAAUUUU
Molecule: unclassified non-coding RNA, 158 nt
Filed under: uncultured Eurotiomycetes
Lineage: Eukaryota; Fungi; Ascomycota; Eurotiomycetes
Description: sequence contains ITS2
Source: RNAcentral